RNAcentral lists this RNase P RNA (350 nucleotides) under Hydrogenophaga sp. Its description in RNAcentral is "RNase P RNA component class A". It matches the Rfam family "Bacterial RNase P class A". Rfam says of the family: Ribonuclease P (RNase P) is a ubiquitous endoribonuclease, found in archaea, bacteria and eukarya as well as chloroplasts and mitochondria. Lineage: Bacteria; Pseudomonadati; Pseudomonadota; Betaproteobacteria; Burkholderiales; Comamonadaceae. The record is from RNAcentral.
GAAGCGCGCCAGACCGCCGCUGGCACAAGGCCCGAAAGGGCGUGCUGGAGGAACGUCCGGACUGCACAGGACAGCGUAGGAGGUAACACCUCUCCACCGACAAGCCCGCCGCGUUCGCGCGACGGGCCCUAAGGUGAGGAUCAGAGCAACAGAGACGAGCCGAUUCAGUUCGGGUGAAACGGGCAAUCUCUACGCGCAGCAACACCAAAUAGGCCAGUGUCGAUGUGGUUCCGCGGAGCUGGCGGGUAGGUGGCACCGAGCCGUGUGGGUGACCCACGGCCCAGAAGAAUGGCGGUCACAUGCCGGGCAACCGGCAUGCACAGAAUCCGGCUUAUCGGCGCGCUUCACAC